RNAcentral lists this ribosomal RNA (217 nucleotides) under Glomeromycotina sp. RNAcentral's name for it is "partial small subunit ribosomal RNA". The stretch from base 76 to 217 matches the Rfam family "Eukaryotic small subunit ribosomal RNA", at positions 721 to 864 of the family's 1831-position model. The record is from RNAcentral. Lineage: Eukaryota; Fungi; Glomeromycota.
GGGGUCAGUAGGUUGGUCGUGCCACCGGUACGUACUGGUCUCACUGAUUCCUCCUCCCUGAAGAACCGUAAUGCCAUUAAUUUGGUGUUGCGGGGAAACAGGACUGUUACUUUGAAAAAAUUAGAGUGUUUAAAGCAAGCUAACGCUUGAAUACAUUAGCAUGGAAUAAUGAAAUAGGACGAUCGAUCCUAUUUUGUUGGUUUCUAGGAUUGACGUA